UACCUGGUUGAUCCUGCCAGUAGUCAUAUGCUUGUCUCAAAGAUUAAGCCAUGCAUGUGCAAGUAUGAACUAACUCGAACUGUGAAACUGCGAAUGGCUCA
Molecule: ribosomal RNA, 101 nt
Filed under: Panicum miliaceum (proso millet)
Lineage: Eukaryota; Viridiplantae; Streptophyta; Magnoliopsida; Poales; Poaceae
Description: partial 18S ribosomal RNA
Rfam family: Eukaryotic small subunit ribosomal RNA
Source: RNAcentral